Molecule: long non-coding RNA, 123 nt
Organism: Apis florea (little honeybee)
Lineage: Eukaryota; Metazoa; Arthropoda; Insecta; Hymenoptera; Apidae
Source: RefSeq, a predicted model, not a curated record
UGCAAACGAAACGAGACGAAACGAAAACGAAACGAAUACGAGCCGGCUAGUUUGGCUCUCGAGCGGAUAAUUGAAUUAUGCGAGCCGAGGGGCCGGCUUCCGAAAGGGGAAGGAAGAAAGAAA